Gorilla gorilla gorilla (western lowland gorilla) is the source of this 98-nucleotide small nuclear RNA. The record is from Ensembl. NCBI's taxonomy places the organism in Eukaryota, Metazoa, Chordata, Mammalia, Primates, Hominidae.
GUAAUCACACUUAUACUAACAUUGGAAUAAUACCGAGAAGAGUAGCAUCACCCCUGCAAAAGGAUGCAACACAAAUUCAUGAAGCAUUCCAUAUUUUU